CAUCCUUUCAAAUGUGUUUGCAAAUUAGAGGUUGCUUUUGCUGGUGUGACUAUGCAGAACACUGUGGUGAGUCGGUCAGAACUCCAAAGAAAGCAGAGUCGUACUCCAGGUGAUUCAACUCGUACUUGCGGUUUAUUUAGGUAAUUGUGUGUGGUUCCUGAAAUUAAACAACAAUACAGCGUCAAUGUCUGAAUAAACUGACUGAAGUAGCAUCACACAUACUGAAUAACUGCACAUUUCUACAUAAAUACACGAC
Long non-coding RNA from Xiphophorus couchianus (Monterrey platyfish), 256 nucleotides. RefSeq lists it as uncharacterized. The record is from RefSeq and is a predicted model, not a curated record. NCBI's taxonomy places the organism in Eukaryota, Metazoa, Chordata, Actinopteri, Cyprinodontiformes, Poeciliidae. The transcript is spliced from 3 exons.